ACCAAGAAGGGUAAAGGAAUAGCAUUACUACUUGUUAUUGGGAAAUCCCUAUAUACAUUGACCUCCCUCCUCAACGGACAGGCAAACCUGCAAAAAAUGCUCAACCCUUUCUCGCAUUCGAAAAGGCACCCUCAACAUAACUCCUCUCGAAAUACUUCAGCUUUAUUUCCCCCCGAUAAUACCUCAGCAAAUAAGCCACACCAAGAACAAGAGUAUCUCAUAUCAUCAGGGUCGAAAGCAAGAGUAUCCCAUAUCAUGCUUUCUCCCUGUCUUUGUCUUUGUCCUUGUCCACACCUGCAGGACAAGGAGAAAGAGAGCAGUCAGUCGGAACCUGAAAUCAAACCUCCAAUUUGGAACUGACUGCCUGGAGCCUUUGCCUGGUUGCUUACUUAGCAUUGCUC
This 401-nucleotide long non-coding RNA is filed under the name Malus domestica (apple). RNAcentral's name for it is "long non-coding RNA (MDOM_LNC019285)". Lineage: Eukaryota; Viridiplantae; Streptophyta; Magnoliopsida; Rosales; Rosaceae. The record is from RNAcentral.